This 585-nucleotide ribosomal RNA is filed under the name uncultured bacterium. RNAcentral's name for it is "bacterial SSU rRNA". It matches the Rfam family "Bacterial small subunit ribosomal RNA", at positions 338 to 916 of the family's 1533-position model. The record is from RNAcentral.
CCUACGGGAGGCAGCAGUGGGGAAUUUUGGACAAUGGGCGAAAGCCUGAUCCAGCAAUGCCGCGUGCAGGAAGAAGGCCUUCGGGUUGUAAACUGCUUUUGUACGGAGCGAAAAGGCUCUCUCUAAUACAGGGGGCUCAUGACGGUACCGUAAGAAUAAGCACCGGCUAACUACGUGCCAGCAGCCGCGGUAAUACGUAGGGUGCAAGCGUUAAUCGGAAUUACUGGGCGUAAAGCGUGCGCAGGCGGUUUUGUAAGACAGGCGUGAAAUCCCCGGGCUCAACCUGGGAAUGGCGCUUGUGACUGCAAAGCUGGAGUGCGGCAGAGGGGGAUGGAGUUCCGCGUGUAGCAGUGAAAUGCGUAGAUAUGCGGAGGAACACCGAUGGCGAAGGCAAUCCCCUGGGCCUGCACUGACGCUCAUGCACGAAAGCGUGGGGAGCAAACAGGAUUAGAUACCCUGGUAGUCCACGCCCUAAACGAUGUCAACUGGUUGUUGGGUCUUUACUGACUCAGUAACGAAGCUAACGCGUGAAGUUGACCGCCUGGGGAGUACGGCCGCAAGGUUGAAACUCAAAUGAAUUGACGG